AAACCAACAGGGAUUGCCUCAGUAACGGCGAGUGAAGCGGCAAAAGCUCAAAUUUGAAAUCUAGCACCUUCGGUGUUCGAGUUGUAAUUUGAAGAUGGUAACCUUGGGUUUGGCUCUUGUCUAUGUUCCUUGGAACAGGACGUCAUAGAGGGUGAGAAUCCCGUCUGAUGAGAUGCCCAUUCCUAUGUAAGGUGCUAUCGAAGAGUCGAGUUGUUUGGGAAUGCAGCUCUAAGUGGGUGGUAAAUUCCAUCUAAAGCUAAAUAUUGGCGAGAGACCGAUAGCGAACAAGUACAGUGAUGGAAAGAUGAAAAGAACUUUGAAAAGAGAGUGAAAAAGUACGUGAAAUUGUUGAAAGGGAAGGGCAUUAGAUCAGACUUGGUGUUUUACGAUUAUCUUCUCUUCUUGAGUUGUGCACUCGUAUUUCACUGGGCCAGCAUCGAUUCGGAUGGCAAGAUAAUAGCAGUUGAAUGUGGCUUCACUUCGGUGGAGUGUUAUAGCUUCUGUUGAUAUUGCCUGUCUGGAUCGAGGGCUGCGUCUUUUGACUAGGAUGCUGGCGUAAUGAUCUAAUGCCGC
RNAcentral lists this ribosomal RNA (573 nucleotides) under Wickerhamomyces myanmarensis. RNAcentral's name for it is "eukaryotic LSU rRNA". It matches the Rfam family "Eukaryotic large subunit ribosomal RNA", at positions 62 to 648 of the family's 3401-position model. Lineage: Eukaryota; Fungi; Ascomycota; Saccharomycetes; Phaffomycetales; Wickerhamomycetaceae. The record is from RNAcentral.